RNAcentral lists this microRNA precursor (121 nucleotides) under Nannospalax galili (Upper Galilee mountains blind mole rat). RNAcentral's name for it is "miRNA (ENSNGAG00000005349.1)". Lineage: Eukaryota; Metazoa; Chordata; Mammalia; Rodentia; Spalacidae. The record is from RNAcentral.
UCUCCCCAUAGCCUCAGCUGUCCUGGAACUCACUAUGUAGACCAGGCUGGUCUUGAACUCAGAGAUCCACCUGCCUCUGCCUCCCAAGUGCUGGGACUACAGGCAUGUGCCACCAUGCCUG